GUUAAAAGGUGGGGUUUAGGAUUUAGGGUUUAGGGUUUAGGGUUUAGAGUUUAGGGUUUAGAUUUUAGGGUUUAGGGUUUAGAUUUUAGGGUUUAGGGUUUAUAGUUUAGGGUUUAGGGUUUAGAGUUUAGGGUUUAGGGUUUAUGGUUUAGGGUUUAGGGUUUAGAGUUUAGGGUUUAGAGUUUAGGGUUUAGGGUUUAGAGUUGAGAAUAGAGGUUUUGGGGAUAAGAUUUCAAAUUUUGAAAAAUAAAAAAAAUUAAAAUUUUCAAAGUAUAAACUUAGAAAGAUGCUAUUUUGUUCAUUUUAGUUUUUGAGUGCUAUUUUUGUGAUAUAAACUUAGAAUGGUGAUAUUUUGGAGAUUUGCCCAUUAGCAAUUUACCGGUGUCCUAAUUUAUUUUUGUAUUAUUUUCUCAGCCGCUUUGGUAACUAGCUAGGUCUUAAAAAAUAACCUUCAACACCUC
RNAcentral lists this long non-coding RNA (461 nucleotides) under Brassica napus (rape). RNAcentral's name for it is "long non-coding RNA (BNAP_LNC017352)". Lineage: Eukaryota; Viridiplantae; Streptophyta; Magnoliopsida; Brassicales; Brassicaceae. The record is from RNAcentral.